Molecule: transfer RNA, 67 nt
Filed under: Brisinga sp. SS-2022
Lineage: Eukaryota; Metazoa; Echinodermata; Asteroidea; Brisingida; Brisingidae
Description: tRNA-Arg
Source: RNAcentral
AAAAGCUAAUUUAAUAAAAAUUUCUAGUUUCGACCUAGCCUAUUUUGGAUAACAACCAAAGCUUUUA